Long non-coding RNA from Vulpes vulpes (red fox), 611 nucleotides. The record is from Ensembl. Lineage: Eukaryota; Metazoa; Chordata; Mammalia; Carnivora; Canidae.
CUAGGAGUCCCUGCGCGACCCUUUGAGGCUAGGAAGCUCCCUGCUGUCCUCCCCGCAAAGGGUGUGGUAUGCAGGCAGGCUGCUGCCACGCUGGAGGUCAAAGACCUUCCCCUUGUCGUGGCAGGGACCCCAGAAGGUCCUGAGGGCUUGACAGCAGCACCCGGCAGUGAGAGCACACGUGGAGACCUCGGCGCCCCAGGCACGACCUUGGGAGGCAGAGCAGGAACCACUCUAGGUCUUCGGAGUGAACCUUCUGGGACAGGUGUUGGCGGGAGUCCGUUUGCCACGACCCUGGAAGCUGGCAGCGUGGGCAGGACCUCAGGAGGCCCCGGCUUCACCAGUCCUGGGCGCGGAGCAGGUGAGUGGAGUUCAGAAGCCAGGGUCGCCUCCACCCACGCCAAAGCGACCGGCAUGGGGCCACGCUGCUGAUCACGAUCACGGUUGACAAGCCAAGGACACGUGAGCCCUUGGCUGGAGACUUGUGGGCCCUGAGAGACUCUGGCAGCAGGUGUGUACCUCUGCAUCAUGGUCCAGAGAGGCAACGUGGGACGGGACCGCUCCUGGGGAUUGAUGCCCUAAGGCGGGGCCGGCCGUGGUCUUGCUGGGUUGGG